AAUGGAGUAGUUUAUUAAGAAUAAUGGGUUUGCGUCUCAUUGGUGGAAUUUAAUUCUUUCCGUUA
RNAcentral lists this transfer RNA (65 nucleotides) under Rhinebothroides sp. MZUSP 8019. Its description in RNAcentral is "tRNA-Ala". RNAcentral also lists the same sequence under 3 other names. Lineage: Eukaryota; Metazoa; Platyhelminthes; Cestoda; Rhinebothriidea; Rhinebothriidae. The record is from RNAcentral.